GAUUUAUUCCAAAGGAAGCCAUUGUGUUUAUAUGCUACCCUACUUGAUUUUUGUUUAUUGGUCUUUCAUCAAAAUGUUAGAAGGCGCUGCUUUUAACUGUCCAAUUAUGGAAGUGGAAUUUUUGUGAGAAAAGUACAAUUGAUCUAGACGAUUGUUGAUAUUGUUUCAUGCUUUCUGGCAUUGCCUAAUUUGAAAAACGUUGGCUUGAGGGGUAACUUUCAUGGGUUAGAUUAAGUUAGCUAUUAGCAUUACAUGGUAUUAACUUCUUUAUGGAUAGCGGUUGUGAAAGCUAAGAAAUUUAUUAUCACGGGAUAGAUGCUUUUUCAUCUUUACAAAACCCUCAA
RNAcentral lists this unclassified non-coding RNA (344 nucleotides) under Hevea brasiliensis (rubber tree). The record is from RNAcentral. Lineage: Eukaryota; Viridiplantae; Streptophyta; Magnoliopsida; Malpighiales; Euphorbiaceae.